UGAACAUUAACAUACAAACUGAAACAUUCGUACUCACAGGAGUAGCUGCAUCAGGAGGUGGAGGUGGAGCGAAUAGCCUAGAUGUUGGAGGCAUCCCCUGGGCGACGCCAAGACUUUGCAUAUACUGAAGAAUCUCCGUGAACCGCUGGUGCUCUGUUUCCCGCUCGGUUGCCAUCCUCACCGUCAACUUUGCCUACUGUCAGGAUCAAACACUAGGCAAAAUGUAAUUUUGCCGAGUGUCUAACAAAACACUCGGCAAAGCCUAACGGCGGGUUGGGUAGCGUCCGUAUUUACAGUAGCUUUGCCGAGUGCCUAACUUUGUCUUGUGCCGGACACUAGGCAAAGUCUAGUUUGCCGAGUGCCUACCUUUGCUGAGUGUCUGGCACUAGGCAAACCAACAAUUUGCCGUGUGCCCGAUAAAUUGCACUAGGCAAAGCGUUCGACACUCGGCAGAGAGUGCCUCUCUGGUAGUGACAGGACCCCCUUUGUAAAUCUUCUAGGUGUGUUGUUGGCCUGGUUGUCCAAGACAGUGGUUUUUCUCUUGGAAAUUGCUUUCUGCAGACGUUUUGUGUUCCCAUUGUCAACUUGAUUGAUAUUUGGUACGUAUUGUGGUCAUGAGUUGG
RNAcentral lists this long non-coding RNA (623 nucleotides) under Sorghum bicolor (sorghum). RNAcentral's name for it is "long non-coding RNA (SBIC_LNC014936)". The record is from RNAcentral. Lineage: Eukaryota; Viridiplantae; Streptophyta; Magnoliopsida; Poales; Poaceae.